AACGGGGUGUAAGGUUUUUGGUGGUCGCGUUCGGACAAUUUGUUAGUAUUGUCCUCGAAUUUUAACUUUUGCGACGUCUCGCGGUUAUUUCGAGGCUUAUACGUGUAUUUUUGCGUGUUUGAAAGGCGAUAAUCUUUACGAUUUUUGGGCCGGAAGGGGCCGCAGACAAGAGUCUUAACGUUUUCAGGCGUGUCCUGAAAGUUUCUUUUGUGUUUUACUGAAGCGUAAACGUUUUCGAUAAAAAAGGACAACGUAUAUUGUAGUAAAAGUUUUUGAAGUUUCUAA
This 285-nucleotide long non-coding RNA is filed under the name Brassica napus (rape). RNAcentral's name for it is "long non-coding RNA (BNAP_LNC004181)". Lineage: Eukaryota; Viridiplantae; Streptophyta; Magnoliopsida; Brassicales; Brassicaceae. The record is from RNAcentral.